UGGCGGCGUGCCUAACACAUGCAAGUCGAACGAGAAAAUGGAGCAAUCCAUGAGUAAAGUGGCGACCGGGUGAGUAACACGUGACUAACCUACCUCCGAGUGGGGAAUAACUCCGGGAAACCGGGGCUAAUACCGCAUAACAUCGCAAGAUCAAAGCAGCAAUGCGCUUGGAGAGGGGGUCGCGGCUGAUUAGCUAGUUGGCGGGGUAACGGCCCACCAAGGCGAAGAUCGGUAUCCGGCCUGAGAGGGCGCACGGACACACUGGAACUGAAACACGGUCCANACUCCUACGGGAGGCAGCAGUGGGGAAUUUUGCGCAAUGGGGGAAACCCUGACGCAGCAACGCCGCGUGGAGGAUGAAGCCCUUUGGGGCGUAAACUCCUUUCGACUCGGACGAUAAUGAC
Molecule: ribosomal RNA, 404 nt
Filed under: uncultured bacterium
Lineage: Bacteria
Description: bacterial SSU rRNA
Rfam family: Bacterial small subunit ribosomal RNA
Source: RNAcentral